RNAcentral lists this long non-coding RNA (642 nucleotides) under Lupinus angustifolius (narrow-leaved blue lupine). RNAcentral describes it as "long non-coding RNA (LANG_LNC003548)". The record is from RNAcentral. Lineage: Eukaryota; Viridiplantae; Streptophyta; Magnoliopsida; Fabales; Fabaceae.
CACCGGUGCAUUCUCCUCCUCCACCGUAUUAUUACAAAUCUCCACCACCACCAAAGAAAGAAUACAAGUAUCCAUCUCCACCACCACCUAUUUACAAGUAUAAGUCUCCUCCUCCCCCAGUCCAUUCUCCUCCUCCUCCUUACAAAUACUCAUCUCCACCACCACCGGUGCAUUCUCCUCCCCCUCCAUACUAUUACAAAUCUCCACCACCACCAAAGAAAGAAUACAAAUACUCAUCUCCACCACCACCUGUUUACAAGUAUAAGUCUCCUCCACCUCCCGUUCACUCACCACCUCCACCACACUAUGUCUAUGCAUCACCACCUCCACCACACUAUGUCUAUGCAUCACCACCUCCACCACACUAUGUCUAUGCAUCACCACCUCCACCACACUAUGUCUAUGCAUCACCACCUCCACCACACUAUGUCUAUGCAUCACCACCUCCACCUGUCCAUUCCCCACCUCCACCACAUUACAUCUAUUCCUCACCUCCUCCCCCUCACUACUAAAUAGUGGUUUAGCUGAUCAACCAUAUUGGUAAGCUUCUUGGUACACCCUAUGUUAUUGUAACAUUAUUGAUGCACACUCAAGCAAACUUACACUCUUAUACUUAAUCCUUACUUAUAAUCACAAGCAAGC